GCACAGAGAUGAAAGGGACCACCUGCCAUGUCCCAGGGGGGAAAAAAAAAACAGGAAAAAAAACUUUUUGGUGUUUAAAUGUGCUAGAAGUCUCUGAUUUAAAAAGUAAAAAGGAUUUCUAACAAUUUAAAUUAGUUUGAAAAUAAUUAUGCAGCCAAGUUACCAUGUCAUUCUUAGUGUGCUAUGUGUGUGUGUGUAUUCCUUUGUCAUGGUGACAUUUUGUUGACCAUUUCAUCAUAAGGACAUCUUGUUAGGCAACAUUUCAUUGUAGGAACAUCUCUCCAUGCAGCAUCUUAUCACUGACAUUUUGUCAUCAACGUUACCAGGGACGUUUCGUCAUUCAGUACUCCACCACUGACAUUUCAUCGAAACCAUAGGCUAUAGUGGUAAUAGCUCAGUGUUGACAGUUAGUAUACUAAACCCCUUAAUUAUGUUCUUACACAUACAAUUAAGCUUUCCAGUUCCUGAUGUAAAGCUAUCCUUGUUAAUGGAGGGAAAGCACCUUUUACAUCUCUCUGCCCUGAGUUUUUUUUUUUUUUUUUUUUUUUUUCGGUCUUUUUUAUCUUUUUGUAGGGCUGCGCCCACAGCAUAUGGAGGUUCCCAGGCUAGGGGUCAAAUCGAAACUGUAGCCACCGGCCUACACCAGAGCCACAGCAACGCGGAAUAUGAGUCGCGUCUGACACCUACACCACAGUUCAUGGCAACACCAGAUCUUUAACCCACUGAGGCCAGGGAUUGAACCCACAACCUCAUGGUUCCUAGUCAAAUUCAUUAACCACCAAGCCAUGACAGGAACUCCUGCCCUGAAUUUUUCAAAACAAUUGUGAGAGUUGCAUUAAAUUAAAAUAUUGUAUAUAAAUGUGUAUGUCCUCAAAAUGUCUUCUAAACCCAUUUAAAAAGACUCUCGAUAGAAAAAAACUCAUGCCCAUGGGCCAAAUUCACUCUGCCACUUAGUUUUGUUAAAAAAAAAAAGUUUAAUUGGCAUAAUACCAAUAAUACCACACCUAUUUUAUUUACUGUCUAUAGCUACUUUUGCAGUUGAGAAAUGAUAAUAUAGACCUUCUAAAAUGAAAAGCCUAAAAUAUUUACUAUAGAGUCCUUAAUAGAAAAAGUGUGACAAUUCUCAGAAAAUGCUUAUUUUAAAUGUGGGUCAUGGGCCUGGCCACCAGGGUUUGGACUUGGGGUACACAUGUGAAGUGCCAGGGGUUCCUGCUAUGCAGGAAGAAGCCAAAGGCUUUGGGAGCCCAGGCUUGCACAGUCAGGGGCCCAAUGAUCUACCGUCCACCCUGAGCCCAAGUUGGGCCUGGAGGUUGAAGGGUGGGGAUGCCACUGCCUGUCUGGUAGGUGGGCAUGGGUGGAGGGGCAGGGGGAGGGUCUUAUUUCUGAAGACCCUCUUCUUCUGGGCUUGUGACACUAGGAUCUUCUCCUUGUUUUCCUUCUCUCUGUGGCUACCCCUCCAACCCUCUACAUCACCAUUUGCCAACAUAGUCUCAUCUGCUUGGAUGUUAAAAUUUAAAGUACAUCAUAGCUUAACUGUGAGCUUGUUUCUUUUAUCUCUAUGUUUUUAAAAAAUUAUUAUAUUAAUAAUAAUAACCUCUGGGCAAUCUAAUCCAUUUCCAAGGCUUUAAUGAAUAACUCUGUGCUUAUAAACCCAGAUUUUACCUCCAUGAAGAAUUAUAUAUACAACUACCUAGUUGAUUUUCUGAUCUAGAUGCCUCUAGUACAUCAUCUAUUAAAAAUGACCCAACAUUUUUUAAAAAAUACAAAUUUUAAAAAUAAAAAUAAAUGUUAAAAAAUGUGCAUUUUCAGGCCCAACCCAUGUUACAAAAUUAGAAUAUUCAUUGGUAGAACUCGGUAUUCUUCAUUUUAAUAACAAUCAGUUUUCUAACAGCGCACGUACAGUUACAAAAGGGAAGGAGCUACAACUGGAAAAGGUGGAAAACAUAAAAUUCUUCAAAUUUUCUUCUCAUUGUCUUCACAUACACACACAAAUACUUUGAAGAAUUUAUGCAGUUCACCUGAUUUAGUCUCAUGCUCAACUGCUUUCUAGGUCUAUCACAAAAGAAAGAAUGAGUAAGGGAUACAUUCAUUCAUUACCCAACCAAUUAAUUGGUCCUAUAGCCUUAACGAAGUCACCAUCUAAACAAUAUAUAAACAGUUUAGGGGGGUCUGGCAAGAUGGCAGAAGAGGAGGACAUGAGCUCCCCUCUUUCACAAAUACAUCAAAAAUACAUUUACAUGUGAAACGACUGUAAUGGAAAUAUCUACUGAAAGCUGGCAGAAGACCUCAGACUUUCAAAAGUGCAAGAAAAUCUCCAUGUAACUGGGUAAGACAAAAGAAAGAAGAAAGAAAGAAAGAGAGAAAGAAAGAAAGAGAGAAAGAGAGAGAGAAAGAAAGAGAGAAAGAAAGAGAGAGAAGAAAGAAAGAAAGAAAGAAAGAAAGAAAGAAAGAAAGAAAGAAAGAAAGAAAGAAAGAAAGAGGGAGGGAAGGAAGGAAGGAAGGAAGGAAGGAAGGAAGGAAGGAAGGAAGGAAAGAAAUCCAGACCCAGAUAGGACUAGCACCCCUGGGAGGGAGUUAUGAAAGAGGAAAGGUUUCUGCAAACUGGAAGGCCCUUCAUUGGCAAAGAGACCAGCCAGGACAGAGAGGGAACUUCAGAGCCCUGAAGGAGAGUACAGCAACUGGUUUGAAGAGGGCAAUUAAAGAAAGACCUACAGAAGGUUGGUGCUGCCUGCCUGGCAUGCCCCAGCCUGAGACACCUGUCUACUGGAGUGGGUGAGAGCUGUGUACUGAGGCUCAGGCUUUGGAGGUCAGAUCUGGGGAAAGGACUGAGGUUUGCUGCAUGGAAACAACCUGAGGGGAGUGGGGUGUGGUGUACCACAACCACGGGAGUGUAGGAAGAAGCCUGGGCCUGCCAAAGAUAUUGGGAGCCAUUAUUGGGGGGAUGUGAGAGGGGAGGAGUGGGACUGCCAUAGGAAGUUCUUUCUCCAUGUGCAGGUUGUCAGGUGGUGGGCCCUACUUGCUUGAACUCCAGGGUCAGUGAGAGCUACCAUUGCCAUCUCAGUCUUUAGAGGUGGCCCAAACCACUGCCUCUACUAGCGUCUCAUGAACAGGCAACAGUCAUUGCCCUCACCUCCCUGGGAGCACACAUGACCCACUUCCACUGACACCACCACCACUGAGGAUCCCGUGACCAGGCACCAACCUCCAUCCCCACCUCCCUGCCCAAUGCCACUGCUAGUGAGUUGGGCAACUUGCCUCCCUGGAAGCAAAGGCAGUCCACCACUGCCACCACCAAGAGAUCCACAACCACAUGGCCAGGUGCCAACUGCUACGUCCACAUUCCUGGGGUACACAUGGCCACUAGCAGCCACUGCUGAGAGUCCCAUGACCAGGCACCAAACUCUCUCUCCCUCUUUCCACAAACACAUGUGGUCUCACACCUUCACAGCCCCUAUCAAGGGGAUAAUGGCCAGGACACACUAAGGAAAGAGACAGCAAACAUCCAAACCAAAAGCAGCUCUCAAGCCAAAAAUAUAUAUAUAUAUGUAAAAUCCACACAAGCGAUGCAGUGAUUCUUUCCCAUAUAAAUAGCCCUCUAACACUGCAAUAGACAAUUACUUCUAAACUCACAGAGUAGGAGAAAUACAAGCAAAAUGAAGAAGCAGAGGAACCACUCCCAGUUAAGAGAUGAAGAGAAGUACCCUGAAGGAACAAUGAAACAGACCUCUUCAGUCUAAUAAACACCAAGUUCAAAAAGGAGAUAAUGAAAAUACUGAAGGAAUUAAGAAAGGCUAUCAACAGAAAUGUAGAUUAUACUGUAAAAGAAACUAGAAACUAUAAGGAGAAAUCAAGAAAAAUUGGAAAAUGCAUCUGUCCAGACAAAAGUUGAGCUAAAAGCAUGCAAUAACAGAAUGAAUAUUGAAGAAGAAAGUAUAAGUGAUCUGAAAGAUGGAAUAAUAUAAAUUGCCCAAUCAAAACAGCAGACAGAAAACCAAAUUAAAACAAUAUAGUAGACCUAUGGGAUAUUAUAGAGCAUGCAAAUAUAUGCAUAAUAGGGAUUCCAGAAGGAGAAGAAAGACAAAAGGGGAUUGAAAAUGUAUUUGAAGAAAGUAUGGCUGGUCCAUAUAGUUUCUCUUAAUGCCAUGUAAUAGUGUCCCAUUAUCUUUAUGGCUGCAUAUUUCAAACUAUUAAUUUGUUUAUUUUUUUAUUUUCCCAGGUUCUUUACUCCAAUUCAAGCAAAUAGCUUGUACUCCCCUCAUGCCUCAGGGGAGGUAUAUAUUAAGGUAGAAAGUAGAAGCAAUGUAUGUCGACUUCUGGAUUUUGUUUCUCAAAGCUUAAGCCCACAGUAGAACUUAGAAUGUUUAUAAAGGUAAUGUAAGGGCCAAGGAGAUUUUCUAAGGAGAAAAAAGAAAGUGCCUCUUGGGUUAGGAUUUCCUGAGACUAAAAAGGAUAGAGAGAGGGAGGGAGCAGGAGAAAGAGGCCUAUGGGUUCCUGAGUAGUGGGGGUCAUCUGUUGCUUCCUGGCAGCAAAGCCAGGGAGGUGGAAAACAAGGAGAGCUCAGACAGAGAGUUCCCUACCUUAGAAAAAACCCUGAUGGCCCUGAUGGGUCAAUGAAGGCUCUGCUGUUAAUUGAGAGGGGACAGGUGAGGUCACCCUAUUCUCCAUGUCUCAACACUGGAUAAAGUUCCUAAACCUUCCUGGUGUGGUAAAGAAUCUUUAAGAAAGAAUGAAAUUAACUUCUCUGCCUGUUUGGUGGAUUGAGGUCUCCAAGUUAGGAGUUAAACUGAGACAUAGAACAUAAAUAGACAUUUCUUGCAAUCUGAGUUAGGUGACAGACAUUCAGAUCUGCUGCAUAAAGAUUAUUUGCUUAAUCAUUUUUUGGCUGCACUUAGGCUUCUUUUGUAAACAGAGAAGAAAA
This 4918-nucleotide long non-coding RNA is filed under the name Sus scrofa (pig). Its description in RNAcentral is "lncRNA (ENSSSCG00000053629.1)". Lineage: Eukaryota; Metazoa; Chordata; Mammalia; Artiodactyla; Suidae. The record is from RNAcentral.